AACGAACGCUGGCGGCAGGCUUAACACAUGCAAGUCGAACGCCUGUAGCAAUACAGGAGUGGCAGACGGGUGAGUAACACGUGGGAACGUGCCCAAAGGUACGGAACAACUCCGGGAAACUGGAGCUAAUACCGUAUGUGCCCGAAAGGGGAAAGAUUUAUCGCCUUUGGAUCGGCCCGCGUCUGAUUAGCUAGUUGGUGGGGUAAUGGCCUACCAAGGCGACGAUCAGUAGCUGGUCUGAGAGGAUGGCCAGCCACACUGGGACUGAGUCACGGCCCAGACUCCUAUGGGAGGCAGCAGUGGGGAAUAUUGGACAAUGGGCGCAAGCCUGAUCCAGCCAUGCCGCGUGAGUGAUGAAGGCCUUAGGGUUGUAAAGCUCUUUCGCCAGGGACGAUAAUGACGGUACCUGGAUAAGAAGCCCCGGCUAACUUCGUGCCAGCCGCCGCAGUAA
This 451-nucleotide ribosomal RNA is filed under the name uncultured bacterium. Its description in RNAcentral is "partial 16S ribosomal RNA". It matches the Rfam family "Bacterial small subunit ribosomal RNA", at positions 29 to 523 of the family's 1533-position model. The record is from RNAcentral.